GAUGAACGCUGGCGGCGUGCCUAACACAUGCAAGUCGAACGGAGUGCAGCCUUUAAGACCUUCGGGUCAAAGAGGGGAAGCCUGAGUGUCGGACGGGUGUGUAACACGUGUGCAACUUGGCUCACUUAGGGGGAUAACAGAUAGUACUUUCUGCUAAUAUCGCCUACGCACACCCUUCCGCAUGGCCGAGGGUGAAGAGAGAUACGCUAUGAGAUGGACCCGCGUCUGAUUAGCCAGUUGGAAGGGUAAGAGCCUACCAGAGCGUCGAUCAGUAGCCGAUCAGUGAGGAUGAGCGGCGACACUGGGACUAGGCAACAGCCGGAACUCCUACGGGAGGCAGCAGUGCGGGAUAUUGCACAAUGGGGUGAGCCCUGAUGCACCGACGCCGCGAGAGUGAUGAAGUAUUGCGGUAUGUAAAGCUCUAUCAGCAGGGAAGAUAAUGACAGUACCUGAAUAAGAAGCCACGGCUAACUACGUG
This 478-nucleotide ribosomal RNA is filed under the name uncultured bacterium. RNAcentral's name for it is "partial 16S ribosomal RNA". It matches the Rfam family "Bacterial small subunit ribosomal RNA", at positions 28 to 507 of the family's 1533-position model. The record is from RNAcentral.